ACGCGUGACGUGCCUAGAUGACGAUAUNCCGGGAAAUGGGAGCAUACGUAUGUGACCGAAGGUGAAAGAUUAUCGCCUUAGGAUCGGCCGCGUUAAAUUACUAUUUGGUGGGGUAUGGCCUACAGGGAGAUCUAUAGCUGUUCUGAAGGAAGAUCACCACACUGGGACUGAACACGGCCAACUCCUACGGGAGGCACAUCGGGAAUCUUGGACAAUGGGCGCAAGCCUGAUCCAGCCAUGCCGGUGAAUGAUGAAGGCCUUAGGGUUGUAAAAUUCUUUCGUCGGGGACGAUAAUGACGGUACCCGAAGAAGAAGCUCCGGCUAACUUCGUGCCAGCAGCCGCGGUAAAUACGAAGGGGGCUAGCGUUGCUCGGAAUUAUUGGGUGUAAAGCGCACGUAGCGGUUCGAUGUCGGAUGUGAAAGCCCCUGGGCUUUAACCCAGGAAGUGCAUCCCGAAAAACUUGGGCGGAGCCUUUGAAGUUACCGGGAAAGAAGGGGUCCUUCGGGAAAUUUCCCCGGGUGUUAAAGGGUUGAAAAUCCCGGAAAAUUUCCGGGGAGGGAAACACCCAAGUGGGCGAAAGGGCGGGAAGAACCUGGGGG
RNAcentral lists this ribosomal RNA (600 nucleotides) under uncultured bacterium. Its description in RNAcentral is "bacterial SSU rRNA". It matches the Rfam family "Bacterial small subunit ribosomal RNA", at positions 115 to 778 of the family's 1533-position model. The record is from RNAcentral.